This 556-nucleotide ribosomal RNA is filed under the name uncultured bacterium. RNAcentral's name for it is "partial 16S ribosomal RNA". It matches the Rfam family "Bacterial small subunit ribosomal RNA", at positions 355 to 932 of the family's 1533-position model. The record is from RNAcentral.
UGGGGAAUAUUGGACAAUGGGCGCAAGCCUGAUCCAGCCAUGCCGCGUGAGUGAUGAAGGCCUUAGGGUUGUAAAGCUCUUUCGCCGGUGAAGAUAAUGACGGUAACCGGAGAAGAAGCCCCGGCUAACUUCGUGCCGGCAGCCGCGGUAAUACGAAGGGGGCUAGCGUUGCUCGGAAUCACUGGGCGUAAAGCGCACGUAGGCGGAUCGUUAAGUCAGGGGUGAAAUCCUGGAGCUCAACUCCAGAACUGCCCUUGAUACUGGCGAUCUCGAGUUCGAGAGAGGUUGGUGGAACUCCGAGUGUAGAGGUGAAAUUCGUAGAUAUUCGGAAGAACACCAGUGGCGAAGGCGGCCAACUGGCUCGAUACUGACGCUGAGGUGCGAAAGCGUGGGGAGCAAAACAGGAUUAGAUACCCUGGUAGUCCACGCCGUAAAACGAUGGAUGCUAGCCGUUGGGGGGUUUACCUCUCAGUGGCGCAGCUAACGCCUUAAGCAUCCCGCCUGGGGAGUACGGUCGCAAGAUUAAAACUCAAAUGAAUUGACGGGGUCAUAGCUG